This 207-nucleotide ribosomal RNA is filed under the name uncultured bacterium. RNAcentral describes it as "partial 16S ribosomal RNA". It matches the Rfam family "Bacterial small subunit ribosomal RNA", at positions 568 to 774 of the family's 1533-position model. The record is from RNAcentral.
GGUGUAGGUGGCUAUGUAAGUCAGGUGUGAAAGCCUGGGGCUCAACCCCAGAAGUGCAUCUGAUACUGCGUAGCUUGAGUGGUAGAGAGGAUAGUAGAAUUCUUGGUGUAGUGGUGAAAUACGUAGAUAUCAAGAGGAAUACCGGUGGCGAAGGCGGCUAUCUGGCUACACACUGACACUCAGACCCGAAAGCGUGGGGAUCAAACA